Molecule: small nucleolar RNA, 70 nt
Organism: Rana temporaria (common frog)
Lineage: Eukaryota; Metazoa; Chordata; Amphibia; Anura; Ranidae
Source: RefSeq, a predicted model, not a curated record
CUGGAUGUGAUGCACAAUGCUAAUGCCUGAUCUCCUCUGAGGGUCAUUGUAUUCAUACUGUCUGAUCCAG